UCUUAGGCCAGGGCCUGAACUACUCCCACCCUCUACCCCCCAAAUCUGGGCGGGCUGUGAACAACCACUCAGCGGGAUAGUUGACAGUCUCUGCCAACUCCCCUCAUUCCUCCACCGGAAUAUAUUAUCGGCCACCACCCGGCUGGCGGGCCUAGCAAGGAUUGUUAUCCCAGUUGUAAUGUCGACCAGGUUAAGGCCAGGACAUGGCCAGGGUCCCGAAACAAAUACGUGCGUAACCACACAUGUGGAAUCACGUCAGGAGCGGAGCUCCCCCCUCCACUCCAGCCCCGAAUCCUCGGAGCCCGGCAGGCCGCGGGCCAUUACGCAGGCCGAAGUCCGAGACCCGGGUGGAUUCAGGUUUACAUCCUCGGGGGUGGAAGCGGUGGGCGGCGCGGCUGCCAAGGUCUGGGGCCCAGGAACGCCGCUCCGAGCGCGAGGGGAGCCUGCGCCGCGGAGCCUCGGGGCCGCAAAGAGGCUCAAGCUGGGCAGAGGACGCGAUGGGUGCCCCUCUCCCGCACGCCGCCUGGAAACUGGAGCUCCCAGUUCCUGGGCCUUAGGUUUUCACUCACUUUGUUCUUUAACCCAUUUUUAAAAAGAGAUUCUUAAUUCGAAGCUAUAGAUGACUACAGCAGCCUCCUCUUCCCACUCCAGGCGCCUUCCAUCUCCCGGGGCCAUCGGAAUUGACAGCCAGCGGCGCACCAGCAAGUCCACGCACGCUCACGCACGUACACAUGCGCACAUGCAACGCACACCACUGAGGCUGCCGGGGUAGGGUAGGGCGAUCCUGGGUGCCGCGGUUGUUGUGGUCGUGCUAUCUCGGGGGUCUGGGAAUGUUUCUGAGCGUUUUGGUGCUCUUUAUUAAUAGUUCCCCUAGGAAGAACCAGCACUGCGCCCUGGCGCGCGGUGGCCCGGGCAGCGCACCCUUCUCAGUCUGCAAGCGGAGACGAGGGCGCGGCAUGGGCGCCCACACUCAUCUAUAAUCCUCAGCGGGCUGUACACAUCAAGGGGCUGAGAGGCCUUUUCUAGAGAGCCGCCCCUCGCCCUCCCCGCGGGAGAUGAUGUAUUUAUUCUUCGCACUUACUGUGCACUUAGCACCGUGAGGGCUGUUCUUUGCUCUUAGCAACGGAAACCCGCGGCUCCGCAGCCGUGACUCCCUGUGGCCCUUGAGCACGAGUCCGCCCGGCGGCGCGGGACCUUGGGCUUGAUCUUUCGAACUGGUAGCUAGGGCCGGCGGCGACCGACUGGGACAUCUUCCGCCCUGCCUGACCCAAGCCUCCUAGAUAUUGCGGCCUGCCACCUCGCUCCGGGGAAGGGAAGCGAGGGUCGGCCCUGCGUUUGCAUUGGGGAGUGAAAAUGCAAGGCGGGCUCCGGACUUCGAGUAGUUAAAGUACCGACGCAAAGCGCUUUCCUGGGCGCCUUCUUUGAGCUUCCAUAAAAAGAGUUUAAUUAAUAGCUGAGACGAAUCGCCCUGUCAGGUGACUUGGGCAAUCAGAAAAACUCCUCUGAAAUACAGAAAGAGUUGGAAGUUGUUACUCCUUGGCAAACCCCAACCCUCACCCGGAGUUUGCCUCCCUAGUCCUCUUGACUUCACUCACAACCCCCUGGAGAAGUCUCAGUGAUAGAUUAGGGAGUCGCUUAGGCGUUGCCCUGUCAUUCCCCCCCAACACGACCUUUCCUGGGACGACUCUGAACUCAGGAUCGAAACCUAUUUCCGCUCGGAUCCGGGUGGCCGAGCCCCACUCACUUCACCCUGGCGAGCCCAGCGGUUGCUGGAAAAUUGCGACUGCAGCGGGCGCGCGGCUUCGAGCGCGCUGCUCUCCGAAGCCGCUGCGAUGCUGAUUUAUGCUCGUGCCGCUCGCGAGAACCCCAACGCUUUGGCUAGGUUAAUUUUUGUCAAUUGUUCCUCAUCACACUGAGAUAGUUUGCAGCUUGAGGCGAGUUUUAUUUAUCACCCUGCACAUUUGAAAUACAGUCAGACAUAAAAAUAACUGACUUUGGGACUCUGGCGCAAUAUCGGAGCCGUCGGGGAAUAAUUUGGCUAACUGACUUGGACGUUUCACCUUCUAAACAGAAAUGCAACUCUCAGUCAAACUGUAAAUCAGAUUGUCUUCGGCAAUGAAAAAAAAUAACACAGGCACCAAACGCAGGAGGAAACGGAAACAAAAUGAAAGAAAACGCAGAUACUGACCAAAGCAAAACGAGCUUCAGAAACCCAGAUUAGAUUUUAAUUUUAGGCGUUGGACCUCAUCUAGAAUGUGGAUUCCUAAAUGUUUGGGGGGAAUCUAGGGUGCCUCCGCCCUAGGGGAUUCUAAGGUGCCCCCAGAAACUGGACUGAUAUUUCUUUUUAUUGUUACUGCUGUUUUUGUUAUUAAAUAAUAAAUGCUGUUUUCGGGGGGCCCUUGAAAAGCUCUAAUUGUAAAUGUUAACGAGAAUGGUCUGGGCAGGACAGGGUGGGAGUUCUGGGAGCCAUCUGAAACUUUAGAAAUAAGGAAAUCAGAAAUUUCCCAGGCACGUUCCUUGUUCCCAAAUAUCUGUGAAUAGACAGAAAAAAAAAUCUAAUAGUCUUUUGGCUUCAAGCGUUCCUCUCCCUCACCUCUCUGGAAGCCGCCCGUAUUGAAAGCUCAAUUUCUUGGAAGCCGCCAGUAUUGAAAGUAUUGAAAGCCUACUACUGUAGGUUUUUGUAUCACUCAUAGACCGAGUGGUCAAAAACCUAGCCAGGACUAACCUUUCAGUAUGGCAGAGAAGAGAAAACCCACACAGGCGACCACUCAGCAAUUGAUCACUUUGGGGAACUUAAAACACAACAAAAUAAAAAAGUUUUGCCAGUGUGGGGAGCAUCUGCUAUUAUUUUUGCAUCGUUUCUUACAACCCCAAUGUUCAUCCCCACCCCCGCAAGUAAAUUUCAUUCUAGCACAACAAAAUGGACACCAGCCUCAGCGUUUCCCUGACUCCCGCAAGGGAAAUCUGAAGAUGGUUUUCUUAACGCGAACCCAAAGCGACCUUAAAUGUAGGCACCUGCCCCACUCUUUGGGUAUUAAACAAGAAUAUAUUUGUUUAAACUCCUUUUUUUACCAAAACCAUUCACAUAGCUUGCCUCUAACAUUUCUCCAAAUAAACUGGAACAGGAGAGCUGUGACUCUUAAAAUCUACAAAUUGAAAUUAAAUUUAAAGAUACCACAGGGGGCUUCAUGUAGAAAACUGGAGGGAUUAUUUUCAAAUAACUUUGAAGGGAAGAUACCUUAGUAGUUGAUAGUGCCUUCUAUCCAUACCGAAUGCAUAAUAUUAAAUUAUGAUUGCAAUCAAAACGUGGUUUCUAAGGCAUUAAAGGAAAUAAAAUUAAAUAUAAUAUUUUGACGGAGAAAAAGAUCAGGGGGUAGUUGGAAAUUUUUCACAAAAGCUAAUUAAAUUGGUGUGGUUUUGACAUUUGUGUGAUCCAAUUCUAAUCUGGUGGUUUUCAUAUCGACCUCAAGCUGGUUUUGCUCAAAUUGACAUCUCUGCUUCUUCAGAGUGGGAACUCAGCAAAAGCAGCACGCUCUGCUGACGGGCAACUCUUGUGUCCUGAGUAAUCCUUUGCCAAUAGAUGGUCUGACAUCCUUUUCAGUAUAACCAGCUGGGAAAUUAAAAGAAAAAUGUUUGUCUCUCCGCAUAUUUAUUUUUAUUUGUUGUGUUUUCUUUAUUUCUAACACAUCAAGAUGAGGUCUUUCUCUUAGAAUCCCAAACCACAAAUAUCUCCCCCCAAAAAAUGUAUAUUUCAAAAUUAAAUCUACAGAUGUAAUACAUACUGUGAACCCUAUAAAAUGCGUUUACAAUGCUGACUUAAAGAAAGAAAUUUAUAACUUUCAUAUGUACCUUCCUUUUGCAAUAGGCAACUGCCAUAUGUUUCCGACUUCCAUAAUUCAGUUUUUCCUGGACAUCUGUAGCAGGUAGUGAGUGCUUCUUAAAGUACAUUUUAUGUAAUUUGAGAAGAAACCCGCACCAAAGACUAAAGGUUAACAUAAAAAAGCACAAGUCUUUCUAGAAAUGCAAGUUAUUCAAAAUUUGCAUCACCUAUUGUGCAUGGCCUGAGAGAGCUUUCCCCACCACCACCUUCUUCAAACUGAAUUUUGAAGUGCAGUAUUGUAUUUGCUGAGGGUUCUUUGCAAGCAACAUUUCCAAAAUGUCUAAAUGCUUUGGUAGAAUUUCUCUUGUUAUUGCUAGUCUUCAUACUUUUGUUCACAGAUUCUCAUUUGGCUCUAUCUUGAAAACCCAGGUUGGAACUGUUUUUCCAGUAAGAUUAUUUAUUUGAGACAAAUUUUAAUAUUUUUAUACUGAAAGGGGGGGGGAAGCCUUAUGUUUUUUUCAUCUAUUUUAAUUGUUCACCUUACACUCACUAAAGGAGAGUUUACACAAUUAAAAGUGAAAACCAAACCAAAAGUAAUACAGAAAAGUCAGAGCUUGUUCUCAAAUUUUUGGCUCCUGUGUUUAAAUUCAAGAUUUAUUCUUAAUGGUAAUACUAUUUUUCAAUAGCUCAUUUCUAUUUGUGUAGUUCUAGUGCUACCAUUAAAUUAAUUUGUUAAAAUCCUUUCAUUCAGAUGAAACUGAAAUGCUUCAUCUGUCAGUACAGAUGAAUAAAUUCCAGCCACAUUCUUUAUUGUUUAUACUUUCAGCAGAUUACAUAAAUGUGAGCAAAAUUUCCACUGUGUAAUAACUGUGGGUAUCUACAACUGUAAGAUAUGAGAACAGGGCCCAAUUUACAGCUAAUUAAUAAGUUGUAUAAAAAACUAAACACUAUACAUUGUGAUUCUUAAAUGGAGCCUACACAAAGACUCAGUUCCCUUUUCAAUUCAUUUUAUUAAACUAGCAAACUCAAGAUGGUCUUCGUUUAUGGGUAAAAACAACAUUAAACAUUUAAUUCAAAGAAUAUGAAGCUGCAUAUUUUAGUUAGCAACUUAGGCAUCAUUUUACAAAGCAUUAACUAUCAAGAUACCCUUUACAUAUGUAGAGAAUAUUAUUUAAUUUCCCCAUUCAUUGUCACAGUUUGAUUUAUGUCCACUCGGCCAGUUGCAAUAUUGGUAUCAGCAAUGUCUAACUACUCAUCUUUGGGUAUGCAUUUACAUCUAGGUGUUCAUUUUAUUACCUUCUUCAAGCCAGCUUAUAUUUGGAUCAGGUAUUAGUGAUAGAGACAAGUGUGUCCUUCUUGGACAUUUCUGUUACUAACCCCUUAUUAUAGUCAGGUUGUCAGAAGAAUGUGGGUCAAUAAAUGAAGUGAAGGGGGCGGUUUUCCACGCACAAGAUAAAAAAUAAUUUCAGCAAUGUCUGGAGGUUGAGCAGAUAUUGCUGGAAAUUGAACAUGGGGACACCCCCACCAAGAGACUUUUCUUCCGUGUACAUCCAAGGUUCAUUACGUUCUCACCGCCCCUCCGCGUGGUGGGUCUGAGAAUCCUCUUCUUUCUUUCCCCUUCCCCAAAGUGCAGAAAGUGGAGGUUGGGGGGAGGGUGUGGUGGUGACAAGCUCACCAACAAAGUACACUCCCUUCACUCUUCCCAAACCUAGCACCUGCCCUAAGCCCCAGCUAGAAAUGAGCAUUGAUUGAUAAACCGGCGCUAGAAGGAAUCUUUUGUGUUUGGGCACUUGGGAGCCAUGAAGACCACUCCGCGGUGAGCGAUUUCUUUCCUUGGGAGACUCAGUCUCAGCUGAUCAGAAUAUAUAACAAACUAGUUGUUGGAGGAAGAGAAUGGUAAACAGUCGCCAACAUGUGGGGUGGUGCAGUCUGUGUGUGCAAAUUCGCGACAAUUCGAGCCACGAGUGGCGGUUCUGGAUCGCCUUCUCCCUGGGGUUGGGUUUGCAGCUGCAGCGGGAGACACGACCGGGAGGAGGCCCGUGAGAACGCAGCCAUUCAGCCCUUGGCCGCGUGAAUUUACCUUGUAGCCUUCGAAAACUUAUACAGGUUAUAAUUUAUUAUUUUUAUUUACCCAAAUCAGAAGCAGAGGCGAGAAAAGGAACAUGCGCAGAGAAGGAAGACAGUAGGAGAGGGUAAAGGAAUAUAGGGAGGAGAGGGGGAGCCGCAGCCUACAAAGUAAGGUGCUGUGGGUUACUCCUUACCGCUUUGAAGUCCUCGCCCCCAAUUCAGAUGUAGCUUUUCUCCAGAUUAGGUUACAAAUUAAGGCAGGUAAAUUAGUACCCUUCUUGGGGCUAGGAUUGGGCCCUUGCUCACUCUCACUCUCCCAUCCAUUUCUGUUAUUCUUUUAGCUAUUAAUAAACUUUUUUUUUUUUUUAAUGCGUGAGAAGGAAGUCUGGAUCCAGCCUCUUUGGAGAUUCGGGGACCACCUGACGCGCCUGGAGUUCAAGGGCCAAGAACAGACUUUCUUGUGUGACAGGACUCACCUCCUGUGUCAGGUCUCUAGUGUGGGAAAUUAAACAAAAGUGUUAGAAAAGCUUAUGACCAUCGUCAAGUGU
This 6435-nucleotide long non-coding RNA is filed under the name Sus scrofa (pig). Its description in RNAcentral is "lncRNA (ENSSSCG00000056220.1)". The record is from RNAcentral. Lineage: Eukaryota; Metazoa; Chordata; Mammalia; Artiodactyla; Suidae.